UUUACAACAAUUUAUUUGGACAAACAUUGAUGUGCAGCAAACGUAAAGGACAGUUUAACAAUAGGACUAAAACAUUUUUGACAAGAAACAGACAACUAUAAACCCCCUGAAGAAGGCCUCAAAAUAAAGGCCGAAACGUCGGUGAAGUAGAGAAAAUCUGUUUUUCUUUUUCGACAAGACUGCUCGCCAAAACCAGAAAGAUAA
Molecule: long non-coding RNA, 204 nt
Organism: Culex quinquefasciatus (southern house mosquito)
Lineage: Eukaryota; Metazoa; Arthropoda; Insecta; Diptera; Culicidae
Exons: 3
Source: RefSeq, a predicted model, not a curated record